ACGAACGCUGGCGGCAGGCUUAACACAUGCAAGUCGAGCGCAAUACUAUCUUCGGAUAGUGGAGAGCGGCGGACGGGUGAGUAACGCGUGGGAACCUACCCUUUGGUUCGGAAUAACUUUGGGAAACCGAAGCUAAUACCGGAUAAGCCCCGUAAGGGGGAAAGAUUUAUUGCCGAAGGAGGGGCCCGCGUUGGAUUAGGUAGUUGGUAGGGUAAUGGCCUACCAAGCCGACGAUCCAUAGCUGUUCUGAGAGGAAGAUCAGCCACACUGGGACUGAGACACGGCCCAGACUCCUACGGGAGGCAGCAGUGGGGAAUCUUGGACAAUGGGGGAAACCCUGAUCCAGCCAUGCCGCGUGAAUGAAGAAGGCCUUAGGGUUGUAAAGUUCUUUCAGUGGGGAAGAUAAUGACGGUACCCACAGAAGAAGCCCCGGCUAACUCCGU
RNAcentral lists this ribosomal RNA (443 nucleotides) under uncultured bacterium. RNAcentral's name for it is "bacterial SSU rRNA". It matches the Rfam family "Bacterial small subunit ribosomal RNA", at positions 29 to 506 of the family's 1533-position model. The record is from RNAcentral.